CACGUAGGGCGCAAGCGUUGUCCGGAAUUAUUGGGCGUAAAGAGCUCGUAGGCGGCGUGUCGCGUCGGAUGUGAAAGCCCGGGGCUUAACUCCGGGUCUGCAUUCGAUACGGGCAUGCUUGAGUGUGGUAGGGGAGAUCGGAAUUCCUGGUGUAGCGGUGAAAUGCGCAGAUAUCAGGAGGAACACCGGUGGCGAAGGCGGAUCUCUGGGCCAUUACUGACGCUGAGGAGCGAAAGCGUGGGGAGCGAACAGG
RNAcentral lists this ribosomal RNA (253 nucleotides) under uncultured bacterium. RNAcentral describes it as "partial 16S ribosomal RNA". It matches the Rfam family "Bacterial small subunit ribosomal RNA", at positions 524 to 776 of the family's 1533-position model. The record is from RNAcentral.